CUUGAAUUAUUGUUCUCCAAACUACUACAGCCUAUGUACUAAUCAUGGCGAACAACGCCCCAGUGGGAAACUGUCUCAAAGACAUGGCCCACAUUGUGAAAUUUGAUGGCACCAACCACUUCGACUGGAAAUACGAGUUCCUAGGCAUUCUAGAACAGCAUGGUCUCAAGCACUUGAUUGAACCAACUGCUGGCGGUGACAUCUUAGCCCGACCCAAUGUGGCCAGAAACGCAGACAAUGCAAUCACCAAUCAGGCAGCCAUCGACCUGUGGAAUCAAAAAGACAUCAUCAUUCGAAAUUCAAUUUUG
Molecule: long non-coding RNA, 308 nt
Organism: Daphnia pulicaria
Lineage: Eukaryota; Metazoa; Arthropoda; Branchiopoda; Diplostraca; Daphniidae
Exons: 3
Source: RefSeq, a predicted model, not a curated record